GUUGUAUGGUUAAGUGAAUAAGCGUACACGGUGGAUGCCUUGGCAGUCAGAGGCGAUGAAGGACGUACUAACCUGCGAAAAGCUGUGGGAAGCCGGUAAGAGGCGUUAGACCCGCAGAUAUCCGAAUGGGGAAACCCAGCGCAUUUAUGCGUUAUCCCUACAUGAAUACAUAGUGUAGGGAGGCAAACCGGGAGAACUGAAACAUCUAAGUACCCCGAGGAAAAGAAAUCAACCGAGAUUCCGUUAGUAGCGGCGAGCGAACGCGGAGUAGCCCUUAAGUUGUAUUAGUGUUAGUGGAAUGGCCUGGAAAGACCAGCGAUACAGGGUGAUAGCCCCGUACACGACAAUGCUUUUACAGUGAAAACGAGUAGGACGGGACACGUGGUAUCCUGUUUGAAGAUGGGGGGACCAUCCUCCAAGGCUAAAUACUCCUGACUGACCGAUAGUGAACCAGUACCGUGAGGGAAAGGCGAAAAGAACCCCUGUAAGGGGAGUGAAAUAGAACCUGAAACCGUGUACGUACAAGCAGUGGGAGCCCCUUCGUGGGGUGACUGCGUACCUUUUGUAUAAUGGGUCAGCGACUUACAUUCUGUAGCGAGGUUAACCGAAUAGGGGAGCCGUAGGGAAACCGAGUCUUAACUGGGCGAAUAGUUGCAGGGUGUAGACCCGAAACCGGGCGAUCUAUCCAUGAGCAGGUUGAAGGUUGGGUAACACUAACUGGAGGACCGAACCCACAUCUGUUGAAAAAGAUGGGGAUGACUUGUGGAUCGGAGUGAAAGGCUAAUCAAGCUCGGAGAUAUCUGGUUCUCCUCGAAAGCUAUUUAGGUAGCGCCUCGAGCGAAUACCAUUGGGGGUAGAGCACUGUUUGGGCUAGGGGGUCAUCCCGACUUACCAACCCCAUGCAAACUCCGAAUACCAAUGAGUACUACUCGGGAGACACACGGCGGGUGCUAACGUCCGUCGUGAAAAGGGAAACAACCCAGACCGCCAGCUAAGGUCCCAAAGUAAUGAUUAAGUGGAAAACGAUGUGGGAAGGCAUAGACAGCUAGGAGGUUGGCUUAGAAGCAGCCACCCUUUAAAGAAAGCGUAAUAGCUCACUAGUCGAGUCGGCCUGCGCGGAAGAUGUAACGGGGCUAAAUCAUUCACCGAAGCUGCGGACUUGUGCUUGCACAAGUGGUAGAGGAGCGUUCUGUAAGCCUGUGAAGGUUGUCCGGGAGGAUGGCUGGAGGUAUCAGAAGUGCGAAUGCUGACAUGAGUAACGAUAAGGGGAGUGAAAAACUUCCCCGCCGAAAGACCAAGGGUUCCUAUCCCAUGCUAAUCAGGGUAGGGUGAGUCGGCUCCUAAGGCGAGGCUGAAAGGCGUAGUCGAUGGGAAACAGGUUAAUAUUCCUGUACCGGCCAAUACUGCGAUGGGGGGACGGAGAAAGCUAGGCAAGCGCGGCGUUGGUAGUCCGCGUGAAAGUAUGUAGGUUGGUGACUUAGGUAAAUCCGGGUUGCUAAGACUGAGAUACGAGACGAGUGUCCAAGGACACGAAGUUGCUGACGCUAUGCUUCCAGGAAAAGCCUCUAAGCUUCAGGUAUUGGUGACCGUACCCUAAACCGACACAGGUGGUCAGGUAGAGCAUACCAAGGCGCUUGAGAGAACUCGGCUGAAGGAACUAGGCAAAAUAGUACCGUAACUUCGGGAGAAGGUACGCUCUUUGCUGUGAAGGACUUGCUCCGUAAGCAGCGAAGAGUCGCAGUGACCAGCUGGCUGCAACUGUUUAUUAAAAACACAGCACUCUGCAAACUCGUAAGAGGACGUAUAGGGUGUGACACCUGCCCGGUGCCGGAAGGUUAAUUGAUGGGGUUAGCGCAAGCGAAGCUCUUGAUCGAAGCCCCGGUAAACGGCGGCCGUAACUAUAACGGUCCUAAGGUAGCGAAAUUCCUUGUCGGGUAAGUUCCGACCUGCACGAAUGGUGUAAUGAUGGCCAGGCUGUCUCCAGCCGAGACUCAGUGAAAUUGAAAUUGCGGUGAAGAUGCCGUAUACCCGCGGCUAGACGGAAAGACCCCGUGAACCUUUACUAUAGCUUGGCACUGAACAUUGACCCUACAUGUGUAGGAUAGGUGGGAGGCUUUGAAGUUGUGACGCUAGUCACGAUGGAGCCGUCCUUGAAAUACCACCCUUGUAUGUUUGAUGUUCUAACGUAGGUCCCUGAAUCGGGAUUGCGGACAGUGUCUGGUGGGUAGUUUGACUGGGGCGGUCUCCUCCUAAAGAGUAACGGAGGAGCACGAAGGUUGGCUAAGUACGGUCGGACAUCGUACGGUUAGUGUAAUGGUAGAAGCCAGCUUAACUGCGAGACAGACACGUCGAGCAGGUACGAAAGUAGGUCAUAGUGAUCCGGUGGUUCUGUAUGGAAGGGCCAUCGCUCAACGGAUAAAAGGUACUCCGGGGAUAACAGGCUGAUACCGCCCAAGAGUUCAUAUCGACGGCGGUGUUUGGCACCUCGAUGUCGGCUCAUCACAUCCUGGGGCUGAAGUCGGUCCCAAGGGUAUGGCUGUUCGCCAUUUAAAGUGGUACGCGAGCUGGGUUUAGAACGUCGUGAGACAGUUCGGUCCCUAUCUGCCGUGGGCGUUGGAUGAUUGAGUGGAGUUGCUCCUAGUACGAGAGGACCGGAGUGAACGAACCGCUGGUGUUCGGGUUGUCAUGCCAAUGGCAUUGCCCGGUAGCUACGUUCGGAACGGAUAACCGCUGAAAGCAUCUAAGCGGGAAGCCGGCCACAAGAUGAGUCAUCCCUUGGACUUUAAGUCCACUAAAGGGUCGUUGGAGACCACAACGUUGAUAGGUGAGGUGUGGAAGCGCAGUGAUGCGUUAAGCUAACUCAUACUAAUUGCCCGAGAGGCUUAACCAUACAACGCCCAAG
Molecule: ribosomal RNA, 2902 nt
Filed under: Rheinheimera sp. EpRS3
Lineage: Bacteria; Pseudomonadati; Pseudomonadota; Gammaproteobacteria; Chromatiales; Chromatiaceae
Description: bacterial LSU rRNA
Rfam family: Bacterial large subunit ribosomal RNA
Source: RNAcentral